Long non-coding RNA from Mustela erminea (ermine), 677 nucleotides. RefSeq lists it as uncharacterized. The record is from RefSeq and is a predicted model, not a curated record. Lineage: Eukaryota; Metazoa; Chordata; Mammalia; Carnivora; Mustelidae. The transcript has 3 exons.
ACAUGGGAACUGAGGAGAGGAAAAGCCAUGUUCUUGCUCCUGGACUCACAAGUCGUCCCAUCCUUCUGUGAUGUCAUCAUGUGAGCCACAGCUCACAAAUCUGAAUGCUAACAACCCAGCAACCAGUCCUCACCUCCCACACGCUUUUCAUCACCCACUUGCAUCCAACAUCUGGGGCUUCUGCUUCUACCCUACCAUCUCAUGAGCUCGCCACUAAGGUUCCAUGUCCAACAUUACUCAGACAGGCAAUAUCUGCAGGAGUAAACCUCAGUCCUCGUCAGUGUGGAGCAAGUGAUCCGAAAGGUGAUCCACGGUCACGCAGUGAGAGGAGCCCUUGAGAAAUUUUAUAACUUCACCUGGAAGACUUCAGAAGCGCAAGAAGGGCCCUCGCUCGCCAGGAGAUUAACCCGUCAGGCCGCCGAGUGAGAAGGGACAGAGCAGACCCGGACAGGAGGCCUGGGAUGCAGGGGAAAUCCAAACACAUCCACCUGCUCAGGGAAGACUCUCCAGACACCUCGUCCCCCUACGGCCAUCUGGGGCAAGCGCUGUCGCAGCCACUGUUGUGGCACCUGGUCAUUUACGACUGCCUCAUGACAUUAUUUCUCACUGUUGUCUUUGCAUUGUUGUUUAAUGACUUUCUGUAAUUGUCUCUUCUGACCCCAAAUAAACCUCAGCAC